AUUGAACGCUGGCGGCAGGCUUAACACAUGCAAGUCGAACGGUGAACGAGGGAGCUUGCUCCCUCCGGAUCAGUGGCGAACGGGUGAGUAACACGUGAGCAAUCUGCCCUGGACUCUGGGAUAAGCGUUGGAAACGACGUCUAAUACCGGAUACGAGGCGUGGGGGCAUCCCCAACGCCUGGAAAGAACUUCGGUCCAGGAUGAGCUCGCGGCCUAUCAGCUAGUUGGUGAGGUAACGGCUCACCAAGGCGACGACGGGUAGCCGGCCUGAGAGGGUGACCGGCCACACUGGGACUGAGACACGGCCCAGACUCCUACGGGAGGCAGCAGUGGGGAAUAUUGCACAAUGGGCGCAAGCCUGAUGCAGCAACGCCGCGUGAGGGACGACGGCCUUCGGGUUGUAAACCUCUUUUAGCAGGGAAGAAGCGAAAGUGACGGUACCUGCAGAAAAAGCACCGGCUAACUACGUGCCAGCAGCCGCGGUAA
This 486-nucleotide ribosomal RNA is filed under the name uncultured bacterium. Its description in RNAcentral is "partial 16S ribosomal RNA". It matches the Rfam family "Bacterial small subunit ribosomal RNA", at positions 29 to 523 of the family's 1533-position model. The record is from RNAcentral.